Molecule: ribosomal RNA, 259 nt
Filed under: Staphylococcus aureus
Lineage: Bacteria; Bacillati; Bacillota; Bacilli; Caryophanales; Staphylococcaceae
Description: partial 16S ribosomal RNA
Rfam family: Bacterial small subunit ribosomal RNA
Source: RNAcentral
UUUAUGGAGAGUUUGAUCCUGGCUCAGGAUGAACGCUGGCGGCGUGCCUAAUACAUGCAAGUCGAGCGAACGGACGAGAAGNNNNNNNNUCUGAUGUUAGCGGCGGACGGGUGAGUAACACGUGGAUAACCUACCUAUAAGACUGGGAUAACUUCGGGAAACCGGAGCUAAUACCGGAUAAUAUUUUGAACCGCAUGGUUCAAAAGUGAAAGACGGUCUUGCUGUCACUUAUAGAUGGAUCCGCGCUGCAUUAGCUAGU